This 118-nucleotide small RNA is filed under the name Paenibacillus sp. JDR-2. RNAcentral's name for it is "Bacillus sRNA ncr1015". It matches the Rfam family "Bacillus sRNA ncr1015". Lineage: Bacteria; Bacillati; Bacillota; Bacilli; Caryophanales; Paenibacillaceae. The record is from Rfam by way of RNAcentral.
UUGUAAGAUAAGAUACUUAUGACUUUUUACUUAAAAUCAGUCGUAAACCGAUUAUAGCAUCGUGUUUAUUUAAGCGCAAUAAAAAGAACCUGAGCCAUUUGCCCAGGUUCUUUUUUGU